RNAcentral lists this ribosomal RNA (445 nucleotides) under uncultured bacterium. RNAcentral describes it as "partial 16S ribosomal RNA". It matches the Rfam family "Bacterial small subunit ribosomal RNA", at positions 354 to 796 of the family's 1533-position model. The record is from RNAcentral.
GUGAGGAAUAUUGGACAAUGGGCGCAAGCCUGAUCCAGCCAUGCCGCGUGCAGGAAGACGCAUCUAUGGUGUGUAAACUGCUUUUGUACGGGAAGAAACACUCCCUCGUGAGGGAGCUUGACGGUACCGUAAGAAUAAGGAUCGGCUAACUCCGUGCCAGCAGCCGCGGUAAUACGGAGGAUCCAAGCGUUAUCCGGAAUCAUUGGGUUUAAAGGGUCCGUAGGCGGUUUAAUAAGUCAGUGGUGAAAGCCCAUCGCUCAACGAUGGAAUGGCCAUUGAUACUGUUAGACUUGAAUUACAAGGAAGUAACUAGAAUAUGUAGUGUAGCGGUGAAAUGCUUAGAUAUUACAUGGAAUACCAAUUGCGAAGGCAGGUUACUACUUGUGGAUUGACGCUGAUGGACGAAAGCGUGGGGAGCGAACAGGAUUAGAUACCCCAGUAGUCC